Molecule: ribosomal RNA, 261 nt
Filed under: Triticum aestivum (bread wheat)
Lineage: Eukaryota; Viridiplantae; Streptophyta; Magnoliopsida; Poales; Poaceae
Description: partial small subunit ribosomal RNA
Source: RNAcentral
AUGCCCAAGUGCACCAUGGGAGGGAGGGCCGACGCCGGGGCCGACACCAUGGCGCACGAAGCAUCCAAGCCCCACGCGAAGCUGCACAUGGCGAAAUCAAUCCCCACCGGCGAGGGGUCCAGCCGGCAGCAGGGUGGCCUUGACGUUGUCGACCAUGUCCAGGCUCUUCAUUCGGUGCAGGUCGCACCUACGCCGGAGCAGGUGGCUCCUCCGCCGGAGCAGGUAACUCCUCUGCCACGCCAUAUGCCCCCUCUGCCGUAG